UACGUAGGGUGCAAGCGUUAAUCGGAAUUACUGGGCGUAAAGCGUGCGCGGGCGGUUUUGUAAGUCUGUCGUGAAAGCCCCGGGCUCAACCUGGGAAUUGCGAUGGAGACUGCAAGGCUUGAAUCUGGCAGAGGGGGGUAGAAUUCCACGUGUAGCAGUGAAAUGCGUAGAGAUGUGGAGGAACACCGAUGGCGAAGGCAGCCCCCUGGGUCAAGAUUGACGCUCAUGCACGAAAGCGUGGGGAGCAAACAGG
RNAcentral lists this ribosomal RNA (253 nucleotides) under uncultured bacterium. RNAcentral's name for it is "partial 16S ribosomal RNA". It matches the Rfam family "Bacterial small subunit ribosomal RNA", at positions 524 to 776 of the family's 1533-position model. The record is from RNAcentral.